GACGGGGAUAGGAAAGGCCAUCCGAAAAGCGGAAUUCUCGUUACCGCCUUCCCCGUUAUAUAAUAUAAUUA
RNAcentral lists this small RNA (71 nucleotides) under Candidatus Magnetoglobus multicellularis str. Araruama. Its description in RNAcentral is "int-alpA RNA". It matches the Rfam family "int-alpA RNA". From Rfam's summary of the family: Acidobacteria (1 example), Planctomycetes (1 example), Proteobacteria. Environment (Lake Washington) Lineage: Bacteria; Pseudomonadati; Thermodesulfobacteriota; Desulfobacteria; Desulfobacterales; Desulfobacteraceae. The record is from Rfam by way of RNAcentral.